Molecule: ribosomal RNA, 1343 nt
Filed under: uncultured bacterium
Lineage: Bacteria
Description: 16S ribosomal RNA
Rfam family: Bacterial small subunit ribosomal RNA
Source: RNAcentral
GACGAACGUUGGCGGCGUGCUUAACACAUGCAAGUCGAACGGAAAGGCCCUGCUUUUGUGGGGUGCUCGAGUGGCGAACGGGUGAGUAACACGUGAGUAACCUGCCCUUGACUUUGGGAUAACUUCAGGAAACUGGGGCUAAUACCGGAUAGGAGCUCCUGCUGCAUGGUGGGGGUUGGAAAGUUUCGGCGGUUGGGGAUGGACUCGCGGCUUAUCAGCUUGUUGGUGGGGUAGUGGCUUACCAAGGCUUUGACGGGUAGCCGGCCUGAGAGGGUGACCGGCCACAUUGGGACUGAGAUACGGCCCAGACUCCUACGGGAGGCAGCAGUGGGGAAUAUUGCACAAUGGGCGGAAGCCUGAUGCAGCAACGCCGCGUGCGGGAUGACGGCCUUCGGGUUGUAAACCGCUUUCGCCUGUGACGAAGCGUGAGUGACGGUAAUGGGUAAAGAAGCACCGGCUAACUACGUGCCAGCAGCCGCGGUGAUACGUAGGGUGCGAGCGUUGUCCGGAUUUAUUGGGCGUAAAGGGCUCGUAGGUGGUUGAUCGCGUCGGAAGUGUAAUCUUGGGGCUUAACCCUGAGCGUGCUUUCGAUACGGGUUGACUUGAGGAAGGUAGGGGAGAAUGGAAUUCCUGGUGGAGCGGUGGAAUGCGCAGAUAUCAGGAGGAACACCAGUGGCGAAGGCGGUUCUCUGGGCCUUUCCUGACGCUGAGGAGCGAAAGCGUGGGGAGCGAACAGGCUUAGAUACCCUGGUAGUCCACGCUGUAAACGGUGGGUACUAGGUGUGGGGUCCAUUCCACGGGUUCCGUGCCGUAGCUAACGCUUUAAGUACCCCGCCUGGGGAGUACGGCCGCAAGGCUAAAACUCAAAGGAAUUGACGGGGCCCCGCACAAGCGGCGGAGCAUGCGGAUUAAUUCGAUGCAACGCGUAGAACCUUACCUGGGUUUGACAUGGAUCGGGAGUGCUCAGAGAUGGGUGUGCCUCUUUUGGGGUCGGUUCACAGGUGGUGCAUGCCUGUCGUCAGCUCGUGUCGUGAGAUGUUGGGUUAAGUCCCGCAACGAGCGCAACCCUUGUUCACUGUUGCCAGCACGUUAUGGUGGGGACUCAGUGGAGACCGCCGGGGUCGACUCGGAGGAAGGUGGGGAUGACGUCAAGUCCUCAUGCCCCUUAUGUCCAGGGCUUCACGCAUGCUACAAUGGCUGGUACAGAGAGUGGCGAGCCUGUGAGGGUGAGCGAAUCUCGGAAAGCCGGUCUCAGUUCGGAUUGGGGUCUGCAACUCGACCUCAUGAAGUCGGAGUCGCUAGUAAUCGCAAAUCAGCAACGCUGCGGUGAAUACGUUCCCGGG